UCUUUUUUUUUUGAACAGAUCUCCCAAAUCUUAAAAAUAAGUUACCUCUGAUUCAUACUCUAUUUCUUUUGUCAAUUUAAAAUAGAUGCUUACAUUAUCACUAGAAAUUUAUACGAAAAUUCGGAAAUGAGGGGUGUUACACCUCCCCCCCCUUAAAAGAAAAAAUUAGUCCUCUAAAUUUAUCAUACCUCUAUCGAUGAAAAGACGAGGAUACACCUUUUUCAUUUCCUCUUCUAGCUCCCAAGUUGUUUCCUCUCCAGAAUGAUGUCUCCAAAUUACUUGAACCAGUGGGAUGACC
Molecule: long non-coding RNA, 298 nt
Filed under: Musa acuminata (dwarf banana)
Lineage: Eukaryota; Viridiplantae; Streptophyta; Magnoliopsida; Zingiberales; Musaceae
Description: long non-coding RNA (MACU_LNC008180)
Source: RNAcentral